RNAcentral lists this ribosomal RNA (498 nucleotides) under uncultured bacterium. RNAcentral's name for it is "partial 16S ribosomal RNA". It matches the Rfam family "Bacterial small subunit ribosomal RNA", at positions 28 to 523 of the family's 1533-position model. The record is from RNAcentral.
GACGAACGCUGGCGGCGUGCCUAAUACAUGCAAGUCGUGCGAACCACUUCGGUGGUGAGCGGCGGACGGGUGAGUAACACGUGGGCAAUCUGCCCGACAGACCGGGAUAACGCUUGGAAACGAGUGCUAAUACCGGAUACGCUCUUGAAUCGCAUGGAUCGAGAGGGAAAGCUGCCUUUGCAGCACUGUCGCACGAGCCCGCGGCGCAUUAGCUAGUUGGUGAGGUAACGGCUCACCAAGGCGACGAUGCGUAGCCGACCUGAGAGGGUGACCGGCCACACUGGGACUGAGACACGGCCCAGACUCCUACGGGAGGCAGCAGUAGGGAAUCUUCCGCAAUGGGCGCAAGCCUGACGGAGCAACGCCGCGUGAGUGAUGAAGGCCUUCGGUUGUAAAACUCUGUCUUCUGUGAAGAACAAGCCUAUGAAGAGAAUGCUUAGGCCCUGACGGUAACAGAGGAGGAAGCCCCGGCUAACUACGUGCCAGCCGCCGCAGUAA